This 78-nucleotide unclassified non-coding RNA is filed under the name Flavobacterium fontis. RNAcentral describes it as "Flavo-1 RNA". Lineage: Bacteria; Pseudomonadati; Bacteroidota; Flavobacteriia; Flavobacteriales; Flavobacteriaceae. The record is from RNAcentral.
UUGCAGCUGCGUGAGCGAUAGGAGCAAGUAUCCUGCCCGACGAAAGGAAGGCAGAUACUGCGGAUAGCGCGACCCCGC